GGAGGGUAUAGCUCAGUGGUAGAGCGCAUGCUUAGCAUGCACGAGGUCCUGGGUUCAAUCCCCAGUACCUCCU
Molecule: transfer RNA, 73 nt
Filed under: Vicugna pacos (alpaca)
Lineage: Eukaryota; Metazoa; Chordata; Mammalia; Artiodactyla; Camelidae
Description: tRNA-Ala (AGC) (tRNA-Ala-AGC-547-1)
Rfam family: tRNA
About the family: Transfer RNA (tRNA) molecules are approximately 80 nucleotides in length. Their secondary structure includes four short double-helical elements and three loops (D, anti-codon, and T loops).
Source: RNAcentral